GACGAACGCUGGCGGCGUGCUUAACACAUGCAAGUCGAACGGAAAGGCCCUGCUUUUGUGGGGUGCUCGAGUGGCGAACGGGUGAGUAACACGUGAGUAACCUGCCCUUGACUUUGGGAUAACUUCAGGAAACUGGGGCUAAUACCGGAUAGGAGCUCCUGCUUCAUGGUGGGGGUUGGAAAGUUUCGGCGGUUGGGGAUGGACUCGCGGCUUAUCAGCUUGUUGGUGGGGUAGUGGCUUACCAAGGCUUUGACGGGUAGCCGGCCUGAGAGGGUGACCGGCCAAAUUGGGACUGAGAUAAGGCCCAGACUACUACGGGAGGCAGCAGUGGGGAAUAUUGCACAAUGGGCGGAGGCCUGAUGCAGCAACGCAGCGUGCGGGAUGACGGCCUUCGGGUUGUAAACCGCUUUCGCCUGUGACGAAGCGUGAGUGACGGUAAUGGGUAAAGAAGCACCGGCUAACUACGUG
This 468-nucleotide ribosomal RNA is filed under the name uncultured bacterium. Its description in RNAcentral is "partial 16S ribosomal RNA". It matches the Rfam family "Bacterial small subunit ribosomal RNA", at positions 28 to 507 of the family's 1533-position model. The record is from RNAcentral.